AAUCAACGCUGGCGGCGUGCCUCAGACAUGCAAGUCGAACGAUUAAAGCUCUCUUCGGAGAGUGUAUAGAGUGGCGCACGGGUGAGUAACACGUAAGUAAUCUACCUUUGAGUGGGAAGUAACCGGGAAACCCGAGCUAUACCGCAUAAUGCAGCGGCACCGCAAGGUGGCAGUUGUUAAAGGAGCAAUCCGCUUAAAGAGGAGCUUGCGGCAGAUUAGCAGUUGG
This 226-nucleotide ribosomal RNA is filed under the name uncultured bacterium. Its description in RNAcentral is "partial 16S ribosomal RNA". It matches the Rfam family "Bacterial small subunit ribosomal RNA", at positions 32 to 252 of the family's 1533-position model. The record is from RNAcentral.